GGGGGUGUAAAGGUUUCGACGGGGGUGUAGAAGCAAGGUAAGCGAGCCGUAGUCGCCAAGUCUACGUUAAAAGUGGCCGUUUAAAUAUAAACGCUAAAGAAAAAACAAACUUCGCACCAAUGGCAAUCGCUGCGUAAGCAGCAUUAGCUGUGCGUGUCAGCUCCGGUUCACCUGUAGGCCGGAAAUCUGGCAUCGAUUAUACAGGAAAACUUUGCGCGAGUUCUCGGUAGCGUAAGGGAACAACGAGAUAGCUGAUCUGAUAGCCUGCUGAUGGGCGAUCGGAGAAGCGAAAUAACAAAUCAUUAGCUGCGCUCGGAGAAAGUCUUGUGGAAAUGCUUUCGGACGCGAGUUCGACUCUCGCCAUCUCCACCA
Molecule: transfer-messenger RNA, 372 nt
Filed under: Emergencia timonensis
Lineage: Bacteria; Bacillati; Bacillota; Clostridia; Peptostreptococcales; Anaerovoracaceae
Also listed under: 3 other names
Description: Standard tmRNA
Rfam family: transfer-messenger RNA
About the family: Bacterial tmRNA, also known as 10Sa RNA or SsrA, is named for its dual tRNA and mRNA-like properties.
Source: Rfam by way of RNAcentral